This is a small nuclear RNA of Monodelphis domestica (gray short-tailed opossum), 106 nucleotides long. NCBI's taxonomy places the organism in Eukaryota, Metazoa, Chordata, Mammalia, Didelphimorphia, Didelphidae. The record is from Ensembl.
GUACUCACUUUGGAAGUACAUCUACUAAAAAAACAGAACAAUACAGAGAUUAGCCUGGUUCCUGCACAAGGAUGACACACAAAUUCAUGAAUGUUCCAUUAAAAAG